Molecule: ribosomal RNA, 2478 nt
Filed under: human metagenome
Description: bacterial LSU rRNA
Rfam family: Bacterial large subunit ribosomal RNA
Source: RNAcentral
GUUCGUUAUUGAGGGCGCAUGGUGGAUGCCUUGGCAUGCUGAGCCGAUGAAGGACGUGUAAGGCUGCGUUAAGCCUCGGGGAGUUGUCAAUAAAGCGUUGAUCCGAGGAUGUCCGAAUGGGGAAACCUGGCCCUGGUUAUGUGGGGUUACCCUUCAGUGAAUUCAUAGCUGUUGUGGGGGUUACGCGGGGAAGUGAAACAUCUCAGUACCCGUAGGAGGAGAAAAUAAUAAUGAUUCUGCUAGUAGUGGCGAACGAACGUGGAUGAGGCUAAACCGUGUGCAUGUGAUACCUGGUAGGGGUUGUGUGUGCGGUGUUGUGGGGCCUGAUUUUGUGUCAUCUACCAGUGGCACGCCCUUUUUCGCAUUGUUGUUAGGUGAAGUGGUUUGGAAUGGCCUGCCGGAGUAGGUGAGAGUCCUGUAGCUGAAGAUGAUGAUGUGGGGGUUGUUGGGUUCCCGAGUAGCAACGGGCUCGUGGAAUCUGUUGUGAAUCUGCCGGGACCACCCGGUAAGCCUAAAUACUCAGUGUGACCGAUAGUGGAUAGUACCGUGAGGGAAUGGUGAAAAGUACCCCGGGAGGGGAGUGAAAUAGUUCCUGAAACCAUGUGCUUACAAUCCGUCAGAGCACUUUUUAUUGUGUGAUGGCGUGCCUUUUGAAGAAUGAGCCUGCGAGUCAGCGGCAUGUCGCGAGGUUAACCCGUGUGGGGUAGCCGUAGGGAAACCGAAUCCUAAUGGGGUGAUAAGUGGCAUGUCCUGGACCCGAAGCGGGGUGAUCUACCCAUGGCCAGUGUGAAGCAGCUGUAAGAGGUUGUGGAGGCGCGAACCCACGUAGGUUGAAAACUGCGGGGAUGAGCUGUGGGUAGGGGUGAAAGGCCAAUCAAACUCCGUGAUAGCUGGUUCUCCCCGAAAUGCAUUUAGGUGCAGCGUCGCAUUAGCUUGGUGGAGGUAGAGCGACUGGUUGGUUGAGCGGGACUACAAUCUUAGCAAUGUCAGCCAAACUCCGAAUGCCAUCAAUUGUGUUGUGCGGCAGUGAGACUGUGGGGGAUAAGCUUCAUAGUCGAGAGGGAAACAGCCCAGAUCGCCGGUUAAGGCCCCUAAGGGUGUACUAAGUGGAAAAGGAUGUGGGAUCGCGAAGACAGCCAGGAGGUUGGCUUAGAAGCAGCCAUCCUUGAAAGAGUGCGUAAUAGCUCACUGGUCGAGUGGUUCUGCGCCGACAAUGUAGUGGGGCUCAAGUACACCGCCGAAGCCGCGGCAAGCAACAUUUUUUGUUGUUUGGGUAGGGGAGCGUCGUGCAUGGGUGGAAGCGUUACCGUGAGGAGGCGUGGACUGUGUGCGAGUGAGAAUGCAGGCAUGAGUAACGAAUUGUAAGGUGAGAAUCCUUACCGCCGGAUGACUAAGGGUUCCUGGGUCAAGUUCGUCUUCCCAGGGUGAGUCGGGACCUAAGGCGAGGCCGACAGGCGUAGUCGAUGGAUAACCAGUUGAUAUUCUGGUACCCGUACAUGUGCGCCCAUGAUAAAGCACGGAUACUAACCACUGCGGAUACGCUACCUUUUCACUUUUUGAGUGUUGGUGGUGUUGAUGUCGUGGGGCCUGAUGUGUGGUUCAAGUGAUGGGGUGACGCAGUGAGGUAGCCGCGCCACUUAGUGGAUUGGUGGUGUAAGCGUGUAGGCCGUGUGGUAGGUAAAUCCGCUACACAUGUGGUUGAGGCGUGAUGCGUAGACCCAGUGGGGUUGAUGGUGGUGAUCCUGUACUGUCGAGAAAAGCCUCUAGCGAGUGUGUGUAUGGCCCGUACCCUAAACCGACACAGGUGGUCAGGUUGAAGAUACUAAGGCGUUCGGGUGAACUGUGGUUAAGGAAUUCGGCAAAAUGCCCCCGUAACUUCGGGAGAAGGGGGGCCCUGUGACGUGAAGACCCUGUGCGGUUGGAGUGUUGUGGGGUCGCAGAGAAUAGAGGGAAGCGACUGUUUAUCAAAAACACAGGUCCAUGCGAAGACGUUAAGUUGAUGUAUAUGGACUGACGCCUGCCCGGUGCUGGAAGGUUAAGAGGACCGGUUAGUAACCUUUGUGGUUGCGAAGCUGAGAAUUUAAGCCCCAGUAAACGGCGGUGGUAACUAUAACCAUCCUAAGGUAGCGAAAUUCCUUGUCGGGUAAGUUCCGACCUGCACGAAUGGAGUAACGAUUUCCCUACUGUCUCCACCAUGAACUCGGUGAAAUUGCAUUACGAGUAAAGAUGCUCGUUACGCGCAGCAGGACGGAAAGACCCCGGGACCUUUACUAUAGUUUGGUAUUGGUGAUUGGGACGGUUUGUGUAGGAUAGGUGGGAGACGUUGAUGCGGCCACGCUAGUGGUGGUGGAGUCGUUGGUGAAAUACCACUCUGAUUGUUCUGGUUAUCUCACUGUGGACCGUGAUCCGGUUCAAGGACAGUGCCUGAUGGGUAGUUUGACUGGGGCGGUCGCCUCCUAAAGGGUAACGGAGGCGCCA